GGAAUUCGAAGGAACAUUCUAGUAAUUUUGCCAUUAAUUAAAAAAAAUACAGCAUUUGAUUUAUAUCAUUGUAAGAAAUAAAUAGCUCGACUAAACAGAAAUUAAUUAAACAAAGGCUAUUACGAUGACAAGCUUAAGCUUUCAGACCGUCCAAAAUACCUGCUUGAAAUUGUGGCGAGAAUAUUCAUCAUUACAGCCUCAUCAUCAAGUUCAGACUUUG
RNAcentral lists this unclassified non-coding RNA (220 nucleotides) under Hevea brasiliensis (rubber tree). Lineage: Eukaryota; Viridiplantae; Streptophyta; Magnoliopsida; Malpighiales; Euphorbiaceae. The record is from RNAcentral.